GCGACCCCAGGAUGGCGAGACCA
This 23-nucleotide ribosomal RNA is filed under the name Vanda stangeana. RNAcentral's name for it is "partial 26S ribosomal RNA". The record is from RNAcentral. Lineage: Eukaryota; Viridiplantae; Streptophyta; Magnoliopsida; Asparagales; Orchidaceae.